GAUGAACGCUGGCGGCGUGCCUAAUACAUGCAAGUCGAGCGAACAGACGAGGCGCUUGCUCCUCUCUCGUUAGCGGCGGACGGGUGUGUAACACGUGGAUAACCUACCUAUCAGUCUGGUAUAACUUCGGGACACCGGAGCUAAUACCGGAUAAUAUCUUGAUCCGCAUGGUUCAAUAGUGAAAGUCGGCUUUGCUGUCACUUAUCGCUGCAUCCGCGCCGCAUGAGAUGGUUGGUAAGUUAACGGCUUACCAAGGCUACCAUGCGUAAACGACGUGAGAGAGUGGUAGGCCACAUUGGAACGGAGACACGGACCAGAGGCCUAAGGGAGGGAGCAGUAGGGAAUCUGCCGCAAUGGGGGAAAGUCUGACGGAGCAAGGCCGCGUGAGUGAUGAAGGUGUUGGGAGCGGAAAAAUGUGUUAUGAGGGAAGAACAGAUGUGGAAGUAAAUGUGCACGGCUUGACGGUACUUAAUCAAAAAGCCACGGCUAACUACGUG
RNAcentral lists this ribosomal RNA (497 nucleotides) under uncultured bacterium. RNAcentral's name for it is "partial 16S ribosomal RNA". It matches the Rfam family "Bacterial small subunit ribosomal RNA", at positions 28 to 507 of the family's 1533-position model. The record is from RNAcentral.